GUCUACAACCAUGCCACCCUGAACAAGCCCAAUGUCUGAUCUCAGAAGCUAAGCAGGGUCGGGCCUGGUUAGUACUUGGAUGGGAGACCACCUAGGAAGACCAGGUGCUGUAGGCA
This 116-nucleotide ribosomal RNA is filed under the name Pteropus alecto (black flying fox). Lineage: Eukaryota; Metazoa; Chordata; Mammalia; Chiroptera; Pteropodidae. The record is from RNAcentral.